GACGUAGGGCGCAAGCGUUGUCCGGAUUUAUUGGGCGUAAAGAGCUCGUAGGCGGCUUGUUGCGUCGUCCGUGAAAACCCGCAGCUCAACUGCGGGCUUGCGGACGAUACGGGCAGGCUGGAGUUCGGUAGGGGAGACUGGAAUUCCUGGUGUAGCGGUGAAAUGCGCAGAUAUCGGGAGGAACACCGGUGGCGAAGGCGGUUCUCUGGGCCUUACCUGACGCUGAGGAGCGAAAGCGUGGGGAGCGAACAGG
RNAcentral lists this ribosomal RNA (253 nucleotides) under uncultured bacterium. RNAcentral describes it as "partial 16S ribosomal RNA". It matches the Rfam family "Bacterial small subunit ribosomal RNA", at positions 524 to 776 of the family's 1533-position model. The record is from RNAcentral.